Non-coding RNA from Callorhinus ursinus (northern fur seal), 131 nucleotides. The record is from RefSeq and is a predicted model, not a curated record. Lineage: Eukaryota; Metazoa; Chordata; Mammalia; Carnivora; Otariidae.
CCGGGGUCCUCCUUCCCUGCAGCUGCGUGCGGCGGAGGGUCAUUGAUGUUCAUCAUAACGCCCCAUCCAUGGAAGGAUCCUGAGGGGUCUUUGGAUGUCAAAAUUAAAUGAUUAAUUUUAAUGUCAAUUUA